This 490-nucleotide ribosomal RNA is filed under the name uncultured bacterium. RNAcentral describes it as "partial 16S ribosomal RNA". It matches the Rfam family "Bacterial small subunit ribosomal RNA", at positions 30 to 507 of the family's 1533-position model. The record is from RNAcentral.
AUUGAACGCUGGCGGCAGGCCUAACACAUGCAAGUCGAACGGUAACAGGAAGCAGCUUGCUGCUUUGCUGACGAGUGGCGGACGGGUGAGUAAUGUCUGGGAAACUGCCUGAUGGAGGGGGAUAACUACUGGAAACGGUAGCUAAUACCGCAUAACGUCGCAAGACCAAAGAGGGGGACCUUCGGGCCUCUUGCCAUCGGAUGUGCCCAGAUGGGAUUAGCUAGUAGGUGGGGUAACGGCUCACCUAGGCGACGAUCCCUAGCAGGUCUGAGAGGAUGACCAGCCACACUGGAACUGAGACACGGUCCAGACUCCUACGGGAGGCAGCAGUGGGGAAUAUUGCACAAUGGGCGCAAGCCUGAUGCAGCCAUGCCGCGUGUAUGAAGAAGGCCUUCGGGUUGUAAAGUACUUUCAGCGGGGAGGAAGGGAGUAAAGUUAAUACCUUUGCUCAUUGACGUUACCCGCAGAAGAAGCACCGGCUAACUCCGUG